Long non-coding RNA from Vicia villosa (hairy vetch), 3173 nucleotides. RefSeq lists it as uncharacterized. Lineage: Eukaryota; Viridiplantae; Streptophyta; Magnoliopsida; Fabales; Fabaceae. The record is from RefSeq and is a predicted model, not a curated record. The transcript is spliced from 5 exons.
UUCUUGUAUCCAAUCUUCCCAAAUUUGUUCCUAUUGCUUUUCCGCAUCUUCUUCAGAUUCUUUUCGUUGUGCGCUAUGUCAGCAUUCUGUUCACAAAAAUUGUUUCUUUAAGUAUAAAAAUGUCGCUCCUUGGUCUUAUUCUUGUAUGGAUUCUGAGUUUUCUGUGUGUGUGGAUUGCUGGGUUCCUAAACAUGUGGAAGUUUCUAGGAGAAGAAGUAUGAGAAGUUUAAGAAAAUUAAAGAGUGGUGUGGUUUUGAAAAAGGGUAGGGUUGAGUUAGAGAAAGAGGGUUCUAGGGUUUUGAAGGGUGGAAAGAUGAUCAGAUCUAUGGAGGAUGUGGUUAAAGAUGGUAACUGUAAGGUGAAGAGGAAGAUUGAAGCGGUUGCUAGGACUCGAGAUGUGGUGGCGAAGGGAGGUGUGGUGGGUAAAAGGGCUGUUGAGCUGGGGAAUAGGGAAGAAAGUACUCUGAAUCUGCCUCCCAAAAUGGAUUCGGUUAAAUUUGGUGUUGAAGAGAUUGGGGAAGAGACGUUUAGGAAGGGGAGGGAAGUUGUUCUGAUCGGCUAAUAAACUUAAGCCGAGAAGAUUGGGGAUUGGAACUUGAUCGCAAGCAAGGUGAUUCUGCAUCUCAUGAGGAAGAGCUGAAAGAUCGUUAUUUCUUGAAGUAUUUUAGGAGGAGGCCAGAUCGUUAUCACUUGAAGUACAGUAGGAGGACAAAUCGUUAUUUCGUGAAGUAUAGUAGGAGGAAAUCAGAUCGUUAUAUCUUGAAGUAUAGUAGGAGAAAUUGUUUAAAACCAAGUCUUAAUAGCCUUGAGAAUCAAGAUUUGAUUGUGUAGAUUCCAUUCAAUUACAUAUCCAAUGCUUCAUGUCAUUCAUGUAAUGCUACUUUACAAUAAUCAGCUUUUGAAAGCUGAUAUUUCAGAGAUCUGUCGUAAAAUGGAAUUGGUACAUAAUUGUUCUCUUGUUAUUUUUCUUAAUUAAAAUUUGAAGCUGUUGUUAUUCACAUUGUCUAUUUUUAUUUCUAUCUUAUUUUCUCUUAUGCUCUUACUUUUACUUUCAAACCAAUGGGAAAGAUGAACAAAGGCCUAAUAAAGAAUGUAAGUUAUGCAGACUGGAAAAGGAAUAAUGAUUAGAAAAUGUAUCAGUAAUUUCAUCGAUGAAAUGAUAGUAGGCAAUAUGGUGCCUUCUAUAAUGCUGGAAGUAGAAUUUCGUAUACUUGAUCACAGUUUGACAAUAUUUCAUUUCAAGGUACCAAUUAUGUAACUGGUUUUAACUUGAUUCUAUAUGUUUCAUUGAAGUUUAGCUGUAUGAUCUUUUAAAUCUUUACCCUUCUUUUUGCUUGUUGUGAUGUUUCAUUAACUAAGCCCGAUUUUACCCUGAAAUCAAUUCUGGUCUACCUUAUAAAAUGUUCAUAAAUGAGUCUUUGACAAGACUUCAGAUAAAUGUUGGAUUAUGAAAUUAGCAUUCUGAUUGAGUAGAUAGCUGGAACCGGAAGUGUUUCAGUAGUUUUUCAUAAGGUUGACUGCUAUUUUAAUGUGAAGUUGUUUUCAACUUUAUAUGUUUUCAUUUUAAUAGUGAUGAAAUGCUUCACUUUUCCUGUCUUGAUCAAUGGUUGCAUAUAAUGGUUUUUACUUUUUACUGACAUGUGCUGUAUUUUGAACCUAAUUUAUCUUGAUUUUUUACUCUUAUACUAUUGACAUUGUUUUUUUACUGUUUGUCAAAAUUACUCGGUAUCUGUGUAGUCUAAACAAACAGAAUUGUUGCUGGGAUUGUUUAACCUCUGAAAACUUGAGCUAAAAUGUGAAGCUACUGAUUUUAUAGACACUUGUGUAUCAUUCAGCUUCUUGCUUCAAGAGUUGAGACCACAUAUAUUUUGCCAUUCAUUGGAUUCACUUACCUUAGGUAGUGACAAAUUUGGAGAAAUGGAAAUAAAUUACUCUGCAUUUUAGACAUGGUUUGAUUGCAUGGUUAACUCCUUUUAACCAUUCUAUUUAUAGACUAGAUGUUUUUUGCUUACCUUUCUCUGUUUUUCUGCCAUAAGAAAAUGAGAUCUCAAUAUUAUUGAUGGCUGUUAACUAAUUUUUUAUUCUCUUAGGUAUGUUUUCCUAAUUUUCUAUGUAGCUGACCAUAAAGUUUCUUACUAGUAGUACUAUAUCAAUUUCAAAAUGGUCACAAAUUUCAAAAUCAAAGAAGAAGAAAACUUAUAUAUGAAGAAACUUAAUGGUUCGAUGAUUUUGGACCAAAGCAUUUCCAUUUCACGUUGGGAAGCUUAUACAGAUGACAAUAAUUGGAACAGGCAUAACGUUGAAGACAAUAUUACAUGCUCUCAAGUUUUUCCGCUAUAAUUUGCUAUAAUGGUGCCGCAAAUAGGCCAGUAUAUAAUUGCAGGUUUUUCCGCUAUAAUCUACUAUAAUGAUAAAAACAUGCAGCCCGUGUCCGUCGAUUAAUUCUUUCCAUGAGUUCCGAUUCAACUGGAAACUAUAAUUUGAGUUUGAAGAUAAGAUUAUACCCGAGAAAGUAGUUUCAAUUCAUUACUUACUCGUUAUGUUUGAUUGAUGUGCAUGUAAAUCUGAAAGAUUUGAUCAUAUCGACUCUUAAAGAGGCUUUUGAGGUCUUUUGCAACAAAGGUGUUGCUGGAAACUCUAGUGCAGAACUUCUUGCCACUUUUUGUGAUAACAUUCUCAACAAAGGAUGCUUUCAUUAUUUUAUGGACUUUGGCAGUACAUGUUCAACAAGUUAAAGCUUCAUGUACUCAUUUUAGGGAUUGACAAGGCUGGCAAAACGACUUUGCUUGAGAAGAUGAAGUCGGUGUACACGAACGUAGAAGGUCUUCCUCCGGAUCGAAUUGUGGAAAGCAAUUGCUUCUCCAGGGCGUGGUAUUUUGGCCAUGGAUGAAUCCAAUGCUACAUGUGGAAAGCGGUUGAAUUCAAUUGGACUAGAGAACACCGAAGCUAACCGUCAAGCAUGGCGUAAAAUUAUAUAUGAAGAAAGUGUUAUGACUUGGUUAAAAUAUAAUUUUUAUGUGUAUGAUUUUAUAGUACUUGAAAUAUUAUGAAUGCACAUGAUAUUGUAUACUUUUUGGUUAAUAUUAAAAAUAUUUUGACUUAGUUAAAAUAUGAUUUUAUAGUAUUUGCAAUAUUAUGAAUGAAAAUGAAAUAUAACUAAAUGGUCUAUAUGA